Molecule: long non-coding RNA, 288 nt
Organism: Amblyraja radiata (thorny skate)
Lineage: Eukaryota; Metazoa; Chordata; Chondrichthyes; Rajiformes; Rajidae
Exons: 3
Source: RefSeq, a predicted model, not a curated record
CCUCAGCACUCGGGCCCCUGCAUUCACUCUCUCCCUAUCCCUCCCCCACCCAAGUCGCACUAGCUUCUCAUUUUCACCAUACAAACAGCUUGCAAUGGUGUUUCCUUUGUCAUCGUUACUUUUUUGCAUAUGUUUCAUUUAUUUUUCUGUAUCUCUUCACAUCACCGUCUCUGUCUCUUGUUCCCUUAUCCCUCACCAGUCUGAAGAAGGGUCUCGACCCGAAACGUCACCCAUUCCUUCUCUCCAGGGAUGCUGCCUGUCCCGCUGAGUUGCUCCAGCUUUUUGUGU